This is a non-coding RNA of Thamnophis sirtalis, 310 nucleotides long. The record is from RefSeq and is a predicted model, not a curated record. NCBI's taxonomy places the organism in Eukaryota, Metazoa, Chordata, Lepidosauria, Squamata, Natricidae.
AAAUCAAAUCAAAUCAAAGAAAACAAUUACAUUUCUUUUUUCCAGAAUAAAUUUUGGAGUGUCUACCUUGGUGGUAUCCGAUGCUCUUCCAGUCCCUGCCUUCAUAAUGGUGUAUGCAGGGACACUAUUCGCAGCUAUACAUGUGAUUGUAGAGAUGACUUUGAAGGAAUAAACUGCGCUUUUGCUAAAAAUGAGUGCCGCCACGAAAUCAACACAGGGUGUCAGCACUUCUGCUAUCCAGAAUCCAACUUUUAUCGCUGUUCAUGUGCUCAAGGCUAUACAUUGGGGGAAGACGAUAAAUCAUGCAUUG